RNAcentral lists this ribosomal RNA (511 nucleotides) under uncultured bacterium. RNAcentral's name for it is "bacterial SSU rRNA". It matches the Rfam family "Bacterial small subunit ribosomal RNA", at positions 28 to 528 of the family's 1533-position model. The record is from RNAcentral.
GACGAACGCUGGCGGCGUGGAUUAGGCAUGCAAGUCGAACGGUAUCAUCCUUUCGGGGGUGAGAGAGUGGCGAACUGGUGAGUAACACGUAGGUUAUCUACCCUCAAGACGGGGACAACCCAGGGAAACUUGGGCUAAUACCGGAUGUGAGCAACUUUUAGUUGUUUGAAAGGUGGCGUAAGCUGUCGCUUGGGGAUGAGCCUGCGUCCUAUUAGUUAGUUGGUGAGGUAACGGCUCACCUAGGCAAUGAUAGGUAGGCGGCCUUAACGGGUGGUCGCCCACACUGGGAUUGAGAUACGGCCCAGACUCCUACGGGAGGCAGCAGUCGAGAAUAGUCUACAAUGGUCGGAAGACUGAUAGUGCGACGCCGCGUGAACGAUGAAUCCCUUCGGGGUGUAAAGUUCUUUUAUAUGUGAGCAGUGCUUCUUAUAUUAACAGUAUGGGGAGAGAGAUAUUAGCAUAUGAAUAAGCAACGGCUAACUCCGUGCCAGCAGCCGACGGUAAAAUACCG